GCUGCAUGGGGUAGAGAUACCCCUUUCUUCGGACUGCCUGCAAGGUGCUGCAUGGUUGUCGUCAGCUCGUGCCGUGAGGUGUCAGGUUAAGUCCUAUAACGAGCGCAACCCCUACCGUUAGUUGCCAGCAUGUCAAGAUGGGGACUCUAACGGGACUGCCGGUGCAAACCGUGAGGAAGGUGGGGACGACGUCAAAUCAUCACGGCCCUUACGUCCUGGGCUACACACGUGCUACAAUGGCCGGUACAGAGGGAAGCCACCCCGCAAGGGGGCGCGGAUCUACAAAACCGGUCACAGUUCGGAUCGGGGUCUGCAACUCGACCCCGUGAAGCUGGAAUCGCUAGUAAUCGGAUACCAGCCACGAUCCGGUGAAUACGUUCCCGGGCCUUGUACACACCGCCCGUCAAGCCAUGGAAGCCGGGAGUGCCUGAAGUCCGUCACCGCGAGGAGCGGCCUAGGGCAAAAUCGGUAACUAGGGCUAAGUCGUAACAAGGUAGCCGUAAAGGGCGAA
Molecule: ribosomal RNA, 511 nt
Filed under: uncultured bacterium
Lineage: Bacteria
Description: bacterial SSU rRNA
Rfam family: Bacterial small subunit ribosomal RNA
Source: RNAcentral